UCUAUAAUCGAUACUCCCCGAUAAACCUCACCACCUCUCGCCAACACAGCCUAUAUACCACCGUCCUCAGCUUACCCCCCAAAGGGAAAAUAGUAAGCAAGAUCANUUUUAAAUAAAAAAGUCAGGUCAAGGUGUAGCAAAUGAGGUGGAAAGAAAUGGGCUACAUUUUCUAUUAUAGAAUAUACAGAAUGCUUUAUGAAANUAUGGUAUGAAGGAGGAUUUAGAAGUNAAAAGGAAAAAAGAGUGUUCCUUUUAAAUCGGCAAUAGAACGCGCACACACCGCCCGUCACCCUCCUUNNAUAUAUCANNNAAAAAUUAAAUAAAUANUUAAUACAACAAGAGGAGAUAAGUNCGUAACAUGGUAAGCCUACCGGAAGGUGAGCUUGGAUAU
This 391-nucleotide ribosomal RNA is filed under the name Aneides flavipunctatus (black salamander). RNAcentral describes it as "partial small subunit ribosomal RNA". It matches the Rfam family "Bacterial small subunit ribosomal RNA", at positions 943 to 1523 of the family's 1533-position model. The record is from RNAcentral. Lineage: Eukaryota; Metazoa; Chordata; Amphibia; Caudata; Plethodontidae.